RNAcentral lists this ribosomal RNA (2735 nucleotides) under Phyllobacteriaceae bacterium. Its description in RNAcentral is "23S ribosomal RNA". It matches the Rfam family "Bacterial large subunit ribosomal RNA". The record is from RNAcentral. Lineage: Bacteria; Pseudomonadati; Pseudomonadota; Alphaproteobacteria; Hyphomicrobiales; Phyllobacteriaceae.
GAGCGAUCAAGUGCCAUAAGGGUAUUCGGUGGAUGCCUUGGCGCUGAGAGGCGAUGAAGGACGUGGUACGCUGCGAUAAGCCAUGGGGAGCUGCGAACAAGCUUUGAUCCGUGGAUUUCCGAAUGGGGAAACCCACCCGCAAGGGUAUCUCGAAAGAGAGGCGAACCCGGGGAACUGAAACAUCUAAGUACCCGGAGGAAAGGACAUCAACAGAGACUCCGCUAGUAGUGGCGAGCGAACGCGGACCAGGCCAGUGCCUGUGAUCUUCCAACUCGAACGGCUUGGAACAGCCGGCGACAUGGGUGACAGCCCCGUAGAGGUGUCGAAGAUCAUGGGACAUGAGUAGGGCGGGACACGUGAAAUCCUGUCUGAACGUGGGGGGACCACCCUCCAAGCCUAAGUACUCCUCAGCGACCGAUAGCGAACAAGUACCGUGAGGGAAAGGUGAAAAGCACCCCGACAAGGGGAGUGAAACAGUUCCUGAAACCGGAUACCUACAAACAGUGGGAGCCCAAGGUUCGUCCUGGGUGACCGCGUACCUUUUGUAUAAUGGGUCAGCGAGUUGGUCUCACGAGCAAGCUUAAGCCGGUAGGUGUAGGCGUAGCGAAAGCGAGUCUGAACAGGGCGUUCAGUUCGUGGGAUCAGACCCGAAACCGAGUGAUCUAGCCAUGGCCAGGCUGAAGGUGCGGUAACACGCACUGGAGGGCCGAACCGGUGCCUGUUGAAAAAGUCUCGGAUGAGCUGUGGCUAGGGGUGAAAGGCCAACCAAACUCGGAAAUAGCUGGUUCUCCGCGAAAGCUAUUUAGGUAGCGCGUCGGAUGAAUACUCCCGGGGGUAGAGCACUACAUGGGCUAGGGGGUCCUACAGAUCUACCAAACCUAAGUAAACUCCGAAUACCGGGAAGUACUGUCCGGCAGACACACGGCGGGUGCUAACGUCCGUCGUGAAGAGGGAAAAAACCCUGAUCGCCAGCUAAGGCCCCUAAUUCGUGGCUAAGUGGGAAAGGAUGUGGGGAUCCCAAAACAACCAGGAUGUUGGCUUAGAAGCAGCCAUCAUUUAAAGAAAGCGUAACAGCUCACUGGUCUAAACAAGGGUUCCUGCGCCGAAGAUGUACCGGGGCUCAAGCCACGAGCCGAAGCUGCGGGCUCGCAAGAGCGGUAGCGGAGCGUUCCCUAGGCUGAUGAAGCGGUAGCCGCGAGGCGCCGUGGAGGUAUGGGAAGUGCGAAUGCUGACAUGAGUAACGAUAAAGGGUGUGAGAGACACCCUCGCCGAAAGUCCAAGGGUUCCUGCGUAAAGUUAAUCUGCGCAGGGUCAGCCGGCCCCUAAGGCGAGGCCGAAAGGCGUAGUCGAUGGGAAUGGGGUGAAUAUUCCCCAGCCUGGGAGCAGUGACGAAUCCCGUGUGUUGUACGAGCUUAUCGGAUUGUUCGUGCAGCGAAGGGGUUCCAGGAAACAGCCUCCCGUAUAGUCCGUACCCGAAACCGACACAGGUGGACUGGUAGAGCAUACCAAGGCGCUUGAGAGAACUCUGCUGAAGGAACUCGGCAAAUUGCCUCCGUAACUUCGGGAUAAGGAGGCCCCAUGCUUGCGCAAGCAGGUGUGGGGGGCACAAGCCAGGGGGUGGCGACUGUUUAGCAAAAACACAGGGCUCUGCGAAGCCGCAAGGCGACGUAUAGGGUCUGACGCCUGCCCGGUGCCGGAAGGUUAAGAGGAGAGGUGCAAGCUUUGAAUCGAAGCCCCGGUAAACGGCGGCCGUAACUAUAACGGUCCUAAGGUAGCGAAAUUCCUUGUCGGGUAAGUUCCGACCUGCACGAAUGGCGUAACGACUUCCCCGCUGUCUCCAGCAGAGACUCAGUGAAAUUGAAUUCCUCGUGAAGAUGCGAGGUUCCUGCGGUCAGACGGAAAGACCCCGUGCACCUUUACUGCAACUUUGCGCUGGCGUUCGUGUCGGCAUGUGUAGGAUAGGUGGUAGGCUUUGAAGCUCGGGCGCCAGCUCGGGUGGAGCCAACCUUGAAAUACCACCCUUAUCGUCAUGAACGUCUAACCGCGGCCCAACAGGGUCCGAGACAGCGCAUGGUGGGCAGUUUGACUGGGGCGGUCGCCUCCCAAAGAGUAACGGAGGCGCGCGAUGGUGGGCUCAGACCGGUCGGAAAUCGGUCGUCGAGUGCAAUGGCAUAAGCCUGCCUGACUGCGAGACUGACAAGUCGAGCAGAGACGAAAGUCGGCCAUAGUGAUCCGGUGGUUCCACGUGGACGGGCCAUCGCUCAACGGAUAAAAGGUACGCCGGGGAUAACAGGCUGAUACUGCCCAAGAGUCCAUAUCGACGGCAGUGUUUGGCACCUCGAUGUCGACUCAUCACAUCCUGGGGCUGGAGCAGGUCCCAAGGGUUCGGCUGUUCGCCGAUUAAAGUGGUACGUGAGUUGGGUUCAGAACGUCGUGAGACAGUUCGGUCCCUAUCUGCCGUGGGUGUUCGAGAUUUGAGACGAUCUGUCCUUAGUACGAGAGGACCGGGAUGGACGCACCACUGGUGGACCUGUUGUCGUGCCAACGGCAGUGCAGGGUAGCUAUGUGCGGACGGGAUAACCGCUGAAGGCAUCUAAGCGGGAAACCCACGUCAAAACAAGAUCUCGCAAAACAGAGCCGUGGAAGACGACCACGUCGAUAGGCCGGGUGUGUAAGCGCAGCAAUGCGUUCAGCUUACCGGUACUAAUAGCUCGAUCGGCUUGAUCGCUCUCAUU